GAUUGACGGGGAUCACUAGUGAAUUCGCGGCCGCCUGCAGGUCGACCAUAUGGGAGAGCUCCCAACGCGUUGGAUGCAUAGCUUGAGUAUUCUAUAGUGUCACCUAAAUAGCUUGGCGUAAUCAUGGUCAUAGCUGUUUCCUGACCGGUUCAGGGAGGAAAGCGAUACCGUGGGUAUCGCGCUCUUGGAUGGGCUCAUGUCCUAUCAGCUUGUUGGUGAGAUAACAGCUCACCAAGGCUUCGACGGGUAGCUGGUCUGAGAGGACGAUCAGCCACACUGGCACUGCGACACGGGCCAGACUCCUACGGGAGGCAGCAGUAAGGAAUAUUGCGCAAUGGGCGAAAGCCUGACGCAGCGACGCCGCGUGGGGGAUGAAGGUCUUCGGAUUGUAAACCCCUUUCGGGAGGGAAGAUGGAAUGGGGUAACCCAUUUGGACGGUACCUCCAGAAGCAGCCACGGCUAACUUCGUGCCAGCAGCCGCGGUAAUACGAAGGUGGCAAGCGUUAUUCGGAUUUACUGGGCGUACAGGGAGCGUAGGCGGUUCGGUAAGCCCUUUGUGAAAUCUUCAGGCUUAACCUGGAAAAGUCGGAGGGGACUGCCGGGCUAGAGGACGGGAGAGGAGCGCGGAAUUCCCGGUGUAGCGGUGAAAUGCGUAGAGAUCGGGAGGAAGGCCGGUGGCGAAGGCGGCGCUCUGGAACGUUUCUGACGCUGAGGCUCGAAAGCGUGGGGAGCAAACAGGAUUAGAUACCCUGGUAGUCCACGCCUUAAACUAUGAAUACUAAGUGUCGGCGGGUUACCGCCGGUGCCGCACCUAACGCAUUUAAGUAUUCCGCCUGGGAAGUACGGUCGCAAGGUUGA
This 858-nucleotide ribosomal RNA is filed under the name uncultured Nitrospirota bacterium. RNAcentral's name for it is "bacterial SSU rRNA". It matches the Rfam family "Bacterial small subunit ribosomal RNA", at positions 1 to 897 of the family's 1533-position model. Lineage: Bacteria; Pseudomonadati; Nitrospirota. The record is from RNAcentral.